RNAcentral lists this long non-coding RNA (215 nucleotides) under Nicotiana benthamiana. RNAcentral describes it as "long non-coding RNA (NBEN_LNC034257)". The record is from RNAcentral. Lineage: Eukaryota; Viridiplantae; Streptophyta; Magnoliopsida; Solanales; Solanaceae.
AACUUCAUCGCUAAGUGGCAUCUCUACAGACGACAACUGGUUGACCAUGUUUUGGAACUCACUAGUAUGCUCGGCAAUUGAAGUUUCAUUUUUUAGCUUCCUGUUGACUAAGCGCCUCAUCAAUAGGGCCUUAUUCCGAGCGGUCUUGGCCUAGUACAUGUCUUCCAACUUCUUCCAGAGGGUAUAUGCGUCUAUUUCUUGUGCAACAUGGUGGA